UACGUAGGUGGCGAGCGUUGUCCGGAUUUACUGGGCGUAAAGAGCGCGCAGGCGGUCGUUCAAGUCGCGUGUGAAAGCCCCCGGCUCAACUGGGGAGGGUCACGCGAUACUGAUCGACUCGAAGGCAGGAGAGGGAAGUGGAAUUCCCGGUGUAGUGGUGAAAUGCGUAGAGAUCCGGAAGAACACCGGUGGCGAAGGCGGUCUGCUGGGCAGUAGCUGACACUGAGGCGCGACAGCGUGGGGAGCAAACAGG
RNAcentral lists this ribosomal RNA (253 nucleotides) under uncultured bacterium. Its description in RNAcentral is "partial 16S ribosomal RNA". It matches the Rfam family "Bacterial small subunit ribosomal RNA", at positions 524 to 776 of the family's 1533-position model. The record is from RNAcentral.